This 497-nucleotide ribosomal RNA is filed under the name uncultured bacterium. RNAcentral describes it as "partial 16S ribosomal RNA". It matches the Rfam family "Bacterial small subunit ribosomal RNA", at positions 28 to 507 of the family's 1533-position model. The record is from RNAcentral.
GAUGAACGCUGGCGGCGUGCCUAAUACAUGCAAGUCGAGCGAACGGACGAGAAGCUUGCUUCUCUGAUGUUAGCGGCGGACGGGUGAGUAACACGUGGAUAACCUACCUAUAAGCCUGGGUAAACUUCGGGAACCCGGAGCAAAUCCGGGAUGUUUUUUUGAACCGCAUGGUUAAAAAGUAAAAGACGGCUUUGCUGUCACUUUAAGAUGGUUCCGCGCUGCAUUAGCUAGUUGGUAAGGUAACGGCUUACCAAGGCAACGAUGCAUAGCCGACCUGAGAGGGUGAUCGGCCACACUGGAACUGAGACACGGUCCAGACUCCUACGGGAGGCAGCAGUAGGGAAUCUUCCGCAAUGGGCGAAAGCCUGACGGAGCAACGCCGCGUGAGUGAUGAAGGUCUUCGGAUCGUAAAACUCUGUUAUUAGGGAAGAACAUAUGUGUAAGUAACUGUGCACAUCUUGACGGUACCUAAUCAGAAAGCCACGGCUAACUACGUG